GGUUUGAUCAUGGCUCAGAUUGAACGCUGGCGGGAUGCUUUACACAUGCAAGUCGAACGGCAGCACGUAUUCCGGUCUGGUGGCGAGUGGCGAACGGGUGAGUAAUGUAUCGGAACGUGCCUAGUAGCGGGGAUAACUACGCGAAAGGUAGCUACUACCGCAUACGCCCUUCGGGGGAAAGCGGGGCCCUUCGGGCCUCGCAAUUAUUGAGUGGCCAGAUAUCGGAUUAGCUAGUUGGUGGGGUAACGGCUCACCGUUGCGACGAUCCGUAGCUGGUUUGAGGACGACCAGCCACACUGGGACUGGAGACACGCCCAGAGACUCCUACGGGAGUGCACAGUAAAAAUUUUGGACAAUGGGGGAAACUCGAUCCAGCCAUCCUGCGUGUGCGAUGAAGGCCUUCGGGUUGUAAAGUACCCUUGGCAGGAAGAAACGGCACGGGAUAAUACCCCGUGCAACUGACGGUACCUGCAGAAUAAGCACCGGUUAACCACGCCAGCAGCCGCGGUAAUACGCAGGGUGCAAGCGUUAAUCGGAAUUACUGGGCGUAAAGCGUGCGCAGGCGGUUCGGAAAGAAAGAUGUGAAAUCCCAGAGCUUAACUUUGGAACUGUAUUUAACGAGCUAGAGUGUGUCAGAGGGAGGUGGAAUUCCGCGUGUAGCAGUGAAAUGCAGAUAUGCGGAGGAACACCGAUGGCGAAGGCAGCCUCCUGGGAUAACACUGACGCUCAUGCACGAAAGCGUGGGGAGCAAACAGGAUUAGAUACCCUGGUAGUCCACGCCCUAAACGAUGUCAACUAGCUGUUGGGGCCUUCGGCUCGUAGCGCAGCUAACGCGUGAAGUUGACCGCCUGGGGAGUACGGUCGCAAGAUUAAACUCAAAGGAAUUGACGGGACCCGCACAAGCGGUGGAUGAUGUGGAUUAAUUCGAUGCAACGCGAAAAACCUUACCUACCCUUGACAUGUCUGGGAUCCCGAAGAGAUUUGGGAGUGCUCGCAAGAGAACCGGAACACAGGUGCUGCAUGGCUGUCGUCAGCUCGUGU
RNAcentral lists this unclassified non-coding RNA (1041 nucleotides) under uncultured Bordetella sp. RNAcentral's name for it is "partial 16S-23S ribosomal RNA intergenic spacer". It matches the Rfam family "Bacterial small subunit ribosomal RNA", at positions 10 to 1065 of the family's 1533-position model. The record is from RNAcentral. Lineage: Bacteria; Pseudomonadati; Pseudomonadota; Betaproteobacteria; Burkholderiales; Alcaligenaceae.